This 584-nucleotide ribosomal RNA is filed under the name uncultured prokaryote. RNAcentral's name for it is "bacterial SSU rRNA". It matches the Rfam family "Bacterial small subunit ribosomal RNA", at positions 338 to 916 of the family's 1533-position model. The record is from RNAcentral.
CCUACGGGAGGCAGCAGUGGGGAAUUUUGGACAAUGGGGGCAACCCUGAUCCAGCAAUGCCGCGUGAGUGAAGAAGGCCUUCGGGUUGUAAAGCUCUUUUGUCAGGGAAGAAACACCGGCUCUAACACAGUCCGGGAAUGACGGUACCUGAAGAAUAAGCACCGGCUAACUACGUGCCAGCAGCCGCGGUAAUACGUAGGGUGCUAGCGUUAAUCGGAAUUACUGGGCGUAAAGCGUGCGCAGGCGGUUAUACAAGACAGGCGUGAAAUCCCCGGGCUUAACCUGGGAAUGGCGCCUGUGACUGUAUAGCUAGAGUGUGUCAGAGGGGGGUAGAAUUCCACGUGUAGCAGUGAAAUGCGUAGAUAUGUGGAGGAAUACCAAUGGCGAAGGCAGCCCCCUGGGAUAACACUGACGCUCAUGCACGAAAGCGUGGGGAGCAAACAGGAUUAGAUACCCUGGUAGUCCACGCCCUAAACGAUGCUGACUAGUUGUUCGGGAUUUACAUCCUGAGUAACGUAGCUAACGCGUGAAGUCAGCCGCCUGGGGAGUACGGUCGCAAGAUUAAAACUCAAAGGAAUUGACGG